GCUCUGCCGGGCGCCACAAGAGUGAGGCCGGCUUUGAGCAGCCUGCCAAGGGGGGCGAAGCCCUCGCUUUGAAAAUGCUCCUGCAGUUUGGGACUUGGCAGUCCUGGGGAACAGCGGGGGACGGGGAAGAAAGCCCCCGCCUGGGCCUCCCCAGCAGGCACCCUCUGCUCUUUUCAUCUCACUGGGGCCCCGUGUGACACCCGAGAAGGAGCUGGUUGUCACGGCUCCUCCCCACAAGCCUCCCCGACUGCUAAACCGUGGCUGAGAAAAGGACAGCAGCUUUGCAGUCACCCAGAAAGCCCCCCGAGGCUGCUGCUCUGUCCUUGUGGGCUCUCCCCCGGGAGCCUACCUGGCCCAAUGUGCCAUGUUUGCAGGACAGGCAGAAGCUGGGCAGGCAAGAACCAGGAUCAGUAGGAGCCAUCAGUCCAAAGGGACAGUAGUAAAAAUCCACUGACCACAGGAGGCUGCUCUCCUUUGCUCUGGGGCCGCAAGAAGGCCCCGUGACUCAGCACAAAAAGUACCCACCACAGCAGCCCAGGUCGUAUUUGGUUCUGGAUCGAGUACAAUUUCUUGGUUGUCACCUCAUUUUUCCCUCUGUUAAACAGGCCUACGAGCCGUGGGCCCACGAGAGUUGCUCAAUAAGCCCUAUUGUUCCAUCAGUUGACAAACUGCAAAUCCAAGUCCUAAAUACUCCAUCCACUGACCACCGGUGAUGGGUGAAUAGUGACAGCAAGACUUCAAGGACGGCCACCUCGCCCAUCUGUUUAUUUUUCCUGCCUGAGUCGAAAAUGGCUUCCAGGCCCUGGCCUCGCCGUGGUCAUGCCUCUUCUGUGGCCAGAGAGGUGUGGAGCCCAGUGCUAUUCCAGGUCAUUUGCAGGAGGGAGGGCCCGGCCAGCACAAAGGGCCGUUGUGGACAUGCGGGCACCCAGAGGCAAGGAUCAGGGCAGGACUCCCACGGAGCAGGCAACCCAGGGCUUCCCUUGCUGAGAUUUUCAGAGCAAAACGAAAGUGUGGUCAGUAUCAAGGCAGAAGCAGGAGUCUUCACCUUUCCAUGGACGAGAAGAAGGGGUGGUGAGAAGGCAGACACUCACCCUGGACAGACAGGUGAGGAGAGGGAUGCUACGUGGCCAAGCCAGUGGGGACCCCGCACCCCUUUCUGCUGGGCCAUGGCUGCAGGGAGAGGAGCCCCAGCCCCCUCCACCUCUCUGGGCCUGCUUGUCACAGCUCUCUUGCUGGACAGGGAACCAUCAAGGUCAAAACGGAAGUUUUUCCCAGGUGCAGGAAGGAAGAGGAAAGCAUCUUCUUAAGUAGUAAACAAUGUUGCCUCAUUUAGCUCCAUUUUUUUUUUUCUUCUGAAUGCCUUUGAAGUGGCACUUUCUAGGGAAACCCUGCAC
Molecule: long non-coding RNA, 1394 nt
Filed under: Capra hircus (goat)
Lineage: Eukaryota; Metazoa; Chordata; Mammalia; Artiodactyla; Bovidae
Description: lncRNA (ENSCHIG00010018509.1)
Source: RNAcentral